AACGCGAAGAACCUUACCAAGGCUUGACAUACACGAGAACGGGCCAGAAAUGGUCAACUCUUUGGACACUCGUGAACAGGUGGUGCAUGGUUGUCGUCAGCUCGUGUCGUGAGAUGUUGGGUUAAGUCCCGCAACGAGCGCAACCCUCGUUCUAUGUUGCCAGCGCGUAAUGGCGGGAACUCAUAGGAGACUGCCGGGGUCAACUCGGAGGAAGGUGGGGAUGACGUCAAAUCAUCAUGCCCCUUAUGUCUUGGGCUUCACGCAUGCUACAAUGGCCGGUACAAAGGGCUGCAAUACCGUAAGGUGGAGCGAAUCCCAAAAAGCCGGUCUCAGUUCGGAUUGAGGUCUGCAACUCGACCUCAUGAAGUCGGAGUCGCUAGUAAUCGCAGAUCAGCA
This 396-nucleotide ribosomal RNA is filed under the name uncultured Leifsonia sp. RNAcentral's name for it is "bacterial SSU rRNA". It matches the Rfam family "Bacterial small subunit ribosomal RNA", at positions 958 to 1354 of the family's 1533-position model. The record is from RNAcentral. Lineage: Bacteria; Bacillati; Actinomycetota; Actinomycetes; Micrococcales; Microbacteriaceae.